This 254-nucleotide ribosomal RNA is filed under the name uncultured bacterium. RNAcentral's name for it is "partial 16S ribosomal RNA". It matches the Rfam family "Bacterial small subunit ribosomal RNA", at positions 524 to 776 of the family's 1533-position model. The record is from RNAcentral.
GACGAACCGUGCAAACGUUGUUCGGAUUCACUGGGCGUAAAGCGCGCGUAGGCGGUUGUGUAAGUCCGUUGUUAAAGCCCCUGGCUCAACUGGGGGAGGUCAAUGGAGACUACACUGACUUGAGGGCAACAGAGGCACAUGGAACUCCCGGUGUAGCGGUGGAAUGCGUAGAGAUCGGGAAGAACACCCGUGGCGAAGGCGGUGUGCUGGGUUGCGACUGACGCUGAGGUGCGAAAGUGUGGGGAGCAAACGGG